AUUGAACGCUGGCGGCAUGCCUUACACAUGCAAGUCGAACGGCAGCACGGGAGCAAUCCUGGUGGCGAGUGGCGAACGGGUGAGUAAUAUAUCGGAACGUGCCCGGUCGUGGGGGAUAACGUAGCGAAAGCUACGCUAAUACCGCAUACGAUCUACGGAUGAAAGCGGGGGAUCGCAAGACCUCGCGCGAUUGGAGCGGCCGAUAUCAGAUUAGGUAGUUGGUGAGGUAAAGGCUCACCAAGCCGACGAUCUGUAGCUGGUCUGAGAGGACGACCAGCCACACUGGGACUGAGACACGGCCCAGACUCCUACGGGAGGCAGCAGUGGGGAAUAUUGGACAAUGGGCGAAAGACCUGAUCCAGCAAUGCCGCGUGAGUGAUGAA
RNAcentral lists this ribosomal RNA (383 nucleotides) under uncultured bacterium. Its description in RNAcentral is "bacterial SSU rRNA". It matches the Rfam family "Bacterial small subunit ribosomal RNA", at positions 29 to 412 of the family's 1533-position model. The record is from RNAcentral.